AAGAUCUUAAGUUAAAUAAACUAUUAGCCUUCAAAGCUAAAAAUAAAAUAUAAAUUUUAGGCCUUA
RNAcentral lists this transfer RNA (66 nucleotides) under Loxoblemmus equestris. RNAcentral's name for it is "tRNA-Trp". It matches the Rfam family "tRNA". Rfam says of the family: Transfer RNA (tRNA) molecules are approximately 80 nucleotides in length. The record is from RNAcentral. Lineage: Eukaryota; Metazoa; Arthropoda; Insecta; Orthoptera; Gryllidae. RNAcentral also lists the same sequence under 2 other names.